RNAcentral lists this ribosomal RNA (500 nucleotides) under uncultured bacterium. RNAcentral describes it as "partial 16S ribosomal RNA". It matches the Rfam family "Bacterial small subunit ribosomal RNA", at positions 30 to 523 of the family's 1533-position model. The record is from RNAcentral.
AUUGAACGCUGGCGGCAUGCUUUACACAUGCAAGUCGAACGGUAACAGGGUGCUUGCACCGCUGACGAGUGGCGAACGGGAGAGUAAUGCGUCGGAACGUGCCGAGUAGUGGGGGAUAACGCAGCGAAAGUUGUGCUAAUACCGCAUACGUACUGAGGUAGAAAGUGGGGGACCUUCGGGCCUCACGCUAUUCGAGCGGCCGACGUCUGAUUAGCUAGUAGGGGAGGUAAAGGCUCACCUAGGCGACGAUCAGUAGCGGGUCUGAGAGGAUGAUCCGCCAAACUGGGACUGAGACACGGCCCAGACUCCUACGGGAGGCAGCAGUGGGGAAUUUUGGACAAUGGGCGAAAGCCUGAUCCAGCCAUGCCGCGUGUCUGAAGAAGGCCUUCGGGUUGUAAAGGACUUUUGUCAGGGAGGAAAUCCCUAGUGCUAAUAACACUGGGGGAUGACAGUACCUGAAGAAUAAGCACCGGCUAACUACGUGCCAGCCGCCGCAGUAA